This 433-nucleotide ribosomal RNA is filed under the name uncultured bacterium. RNAcentral's name for it is "partial 16S ribosomal RNA". It matches the Rfam family "Bacterial small subunit ribosomal RNA", at positions 29 to 507 of the family's 1533-position model. The record is from RNAcentral.
AACGAACGCUGGCGGCAUGCCUAACACAUGCAAGUCGAACGAGACCUUCGGGUCUAGUGGCGCACGGGUGCGUAACGCGUGGGAACCUGCCCUUAGGUUCGGAAUAACUCCCCGAAAGGGGUGCUAAUACCGGAUAAUGUCUUCGGACCAAAGAUUUAUCGCCUUUGGAUGGGCCCGCGUUGGAUUAGCUAGUUGGUAGGGUAAAAGCCUACCAAGGCGACGUUCCAUAGCUGGUCUGAGAGGAUGACCAGCCACACUGGGACUGAGACACGGCCCAGACUCCUACGGGAGGCAGCAGUGGGGAAUAUUGGACAAUGGGCGAAAGCCUGAUCCAGCAAUGCCGCGUGAGUGAUGAAGGCCUUAGGGUUGUAAAGCUCUUUUACCCGGGAUGAUAAUGACAGUACCGGGAGAAUAAGCUCCGGCUAACUCCGUG